Molecule: ribosomal RNA, 425 nt
Filed under: uncultured bacterium
Lineage: Bacteria
Description: partial 16S ribosomal RNA
Rfam family: Bacterial small subunit ribosomal RNA
Source: RNAcentral
GUGGGGAAUCUUGCGCAAUGGGCGAAAGCCUGACGCAGCCAUGCCGCGUGAAUGAUGAAGGUCUUAGGAUUGUAAAAUUCUUUCACCGGGGACGAUAAUGACGAUACCCGGAGAAGAAGCCCCGGCUAACUUCGUGCCAGCAGCCGCGGUAAUACGAAGGGGGCUAGCGUUGCUCGGAAUUACUGGGCGUAAAGGGCGCGUAGGCGGAUCGUUAAGUCAGAGGUGAAAUCCCAGGGCUCAACCCUGGAACUGCCUUUGAUACUGGCGAUCUUGAGUAUGAGAGAGGUAUGUGGAACUCCGAGUGUAGAGGUGAAAUUCGUAGAUAUUCGGAAGAACACCAGUGGCGAAGGCGACAUACUGGCUCAUUACUGACGCUGAGGCGCGAAAGCGUGGGGAGCAAACAGGAUUAGAUACCCUUGUAGUCC